Molecule: ribosomal RNA, 421 nt
Filed under: uncultured bacterium
Lineage: Bacteria
Description: partial 16S ribosomal RNA
Rfam family: Bacterial small subunit ribosomal RNA
Source: RNAcentral
AAUAUUGGACAAUGGGCGAAAGCCUGAUCCAGCCAUGCCGCGUGUGUGAAGAAGGUCAUCGGAUUGUAAAGCACUUUAAGUUGGGAGGAAGGGGUUGAAGCUAAUACCUUCAAUCUUUUACGUUACCAACAGACUAAGCACCGGCCAACUCUGUUCCAGCAGCCGCGGUAAUACAGAGGGUGCAAGCGUUAAUCGGAAAUACUGGGCGUACAGCUCGCGUAGGUGGUUCAGUAAGAUGGAAGUGAAAUCCCCGGGCUUAACCUGGGAACUGCUUUCAUAACUGCUGAGCUAGAGUACGGUAGAGGGUAGUGGAAUUUCCUGUGUAGCGGUGAAAUGCGUAGAUAUAGGAAGGAACACCAGUGGCGAAGGCGACUACCUGGACUAAUACUGACACUGAGGUGCGAAAGCGUGGGGAGCAAAC